GAUGAUGCCAAAAACAUGAUGGAUGAAGGUUUGAUUGUUUUAAAUUCGUUUUAAAUCUCUUUCUACUUCCGUUUGAUGAAUUUUUUUCUACGUUAUUGUUCUAGUUUCUUCGCUUUCUUUGGUUGAGGGAGGCUCAAAUCAGAUCUACUAUUUUGUUAUAUAAAAAAAAAUCAGAUCUACUAUGUUUUUUAAGAUCUGUGAACAAUUAAUAUUAAAAUCUUUUUGUUUGGAUUAAUUUGAUUUUUUAUUUUGUUUGAUUCUUAUGUUGUUCAUUUUUUUUUAUAAAUCAUGUCUUUUAUUUUUUGUAUUUAUUUGAAGAUGAUCCGAAAUGCCUCAAGUGUGAGAGCUCUGUUUGUCUGUAGUAGAAACUUAAUCAGUAAUGGUUACUUAGAUGGGCGAUUUGGGUCAGGUGAAUAUACAAUUAUAUGUAGUCAUAUACAGUCAUAUAUGUAGUCAUGUAUAGUCAUGGAUACAUAUAACUAUACAUGACUAUAGAACUUGUAGUAUACUAUAGUCAUU
This 519-nucleotide long non-coding RNA is filed under the name Erythranthe guttata (spotted monkey flower). Its description in RNAcentral is "long non-coding RNA (EGUT_LNC000954)". Lineage: Eukaryota; Viridiplantae; Streptophyta; Magnoliopsida; Lamiales; Phrymaceae. The record is from RNAcentral.